Hydra vulgaris (swiftwater hydra) is the source of this 209-nucleotide non-coding RNA. Lineage: Eukaryota; Metazoa; Cnidaria; Hydrozoa; Anthoathecata; Hydridae. The record is from RefSeq and is a predicted model, not a curated record.
AUUCAAUAACCUUCGCUCAGGUUAAAGAAUGGAAUACUAGUCUUGCAUCAAAUAUAUAUUACAUAUCCAUUCGCUGUUUAUCACCAGAAGUUAGUUCUACCUUUGCAGUACCUCUGCUCUACAUACCUCCUCGCUGGUUAAAGAAUGGAAUAUAAAUCUCAUAUCAAGUUGGUGCAAAAAUUUAGUUCAAUAAAUUAAGAAUUUGUAAA